CGAGCAUAUCAGGUUGAAACACCAGCUCUCGUCCAAUCACCGAAGUUAAGCAGCGUCAAGCCUGGUUGUUAUCUAAAUCGGUGACCGCUUGGGAAUAAAACGCGCUGUAAG
This is a non-coding RNA of Acanthosepion pharaonis, 111 nucleotides long. Lineage: Eukaryota; Metazoa; Mollusca; Cephalopoda; Sepiida; Sepiidae. The record is from the annotation of a GenBank genome assembly.